This 462-nucleotide ribosomal RNA is filed under the name uncultured bacterium. RNAcentral describes it as "partial 16S ribosomal RNA". It matches the Rfam family "Bacterial small subunit ribosomal RNA", at positions 29 to 507 of the family's 1533-position model. The record is from RNAcentral.
AGUGAACGCUGGCGGCGUGCCUAAUACAUGCAAGUCGAACGAUGAAGUCCUAGCUUGCUCGGAUGGAUUAGUGGCGCACGGGUGAGUAAUAUAUAGUUAAUCUGCCCUACACAGAGGAACAACAGUUGGAAACGACUGCUAAUACCUCAUACUCCUAUUUGACAUAAGUUAAAUAGGGAAAGUCUUUUCGGUGUAGGAUGAGACUAUAUCGUAUCAGCUAGUUGGUAAGGUAUGGCUUACCAAGGCUAUGACGCGUAACUGGUCUGAGAGGAUGAUCAGUCACAUUGGAACUGAGACACGGUCCAAACUCCUACGGGAGGCAGCAGUAAGGAAUAUUGCGCAAUGGGGGAAACCCUGACGCAGCAACGCCGCGUGGAGGAUGACACUUUUCGGAGCGUAAACUCCUUUUAUCAGGAAAGAAUAAUGACGGUACCUGAUGAAUAAGCACCGGCUAACUCCGUG